GGACGAACGCUGGCGGCGUGCUUAACACAUGCAAGUCGAACGGAGUAAAGAGCUUCGGCUUUUACUUAGUGGCGGACGGGUGAGUAACGCGUGAGUAACCUGCCUUGGAGUGGGGAAUAACACAGUGAAAAUUGUGCUAAUACCGCAUAAUGCAUUUGAGUCGCAUGGCUCUGAAUGCCAAAGAUUUAUCGCUCUGAGAUGGACUCGCGUCUGAUUAGCUAGUUGGUGGGGUAACGGCCCACCAAGGCGACGAUCAGUAGCCGGACUGAGAGGUUGGCCGGCCACAUUGGGACUGAGACACGGCCCAGACUCCUACGGGAGGCAGCAGUGGGGAAUAUUGGGCAAUGGGCGCAAGCCUGACCCAGCAACGCCGCGUGAAGGAAGAAGGCCCUCGGGUUGUAAACUUCUUUUGUCAGGGACGAAAUCUGACGGUACCUGACGAAUAAGCCACGGCUAACUACGUG
RNAcentral lists this ribosomal RNA (464 nucleotides) under uncultured bacterium. RNAcentral describes it as "bacterial SSU rRNA". It matches the Rfam family "Bacterial small subunit ribosomal RNA", at positions 27 to 507 of the family's 1533-position model. The record is from RNAcentral.